Pelobates cultripes (western spadefoot toad) is the source of this 276-nucleotide non-coding RNA. NCBI's taxonomy places the organism in Eukaryota, Metazoa, Chordata, Amphibia, Anura, Pelobatidae. The record is from the annotation of a GenBank genome assembly.
UUUCAAUAAGAUUAUGGCAGCUCUACAACAUAUCGACUGGCAUAAACUCCUUAGUGAAAAAAACACUGAGGAUAAAUGGAAACUAUUCAAACAAAUAUUAGAAAGGUACAUUUCUCAGUAUGUACCAAUGGGUAAUAAAUAUAAAAGAAACAAAUUGAAACCAAUGUGGCUUAGUAGAGAAGUAAAACAAGAGAUUAAAAAUAAGAAAAGGGCAUUUAAAUCGGACAAAUCAGAGGCAUCCUAUAUAAGAUAUAAGGAAGCCAAUAAUACUUGCAA